RNAcentral lists this long non-coding RNA (697 nucleotides) under Olea europaea (common olive). Its description in RNAcentral is "long non-coding RNA (OEUR_LNC014552)". The record is from RNAcentral. Lineage: Eukaryota; Viridiplantae; Streptophyta; Magnoliopsida; Lamiales; Oleaceae.
AGAAAAUCAACAUGAGAUUCUGGCUUUGCGGAAUGAAAAUUUAUUGUUCAAGUAGUAACGAUACAAUCUUUAAUAUGCAUUUGUAAAAUUAAAAAAUAAAAAUAAAGCAAGGAAAAGAAACUAAAAUGAAGAAGUUCAUAGCUUCAAGCAGGAGUUUAAUUUCACCUGUCGGUCAUGACGAACAUUGCUUGUUGGGUGUCCAUUGAAGCUUUAUAAAGCAACAAUAUCAUCAAAGUCCAAUUCUUUUCCACAACACAUUUCCAGUUCUCAUCCCACUUUAACACCAAAAAUGCCAGCUUCCACUCCUCUUAAAUCCCAAAUAGCUGAAAAGAUCAAAUCUUCACUUGCUUUACACCAGAAUUAUUAAGAAAGGUCAUUGCUUCGUCUGCAUAAGCAAAGUUCCUGCCUUUUUGGACAGUUACAAGGAAUUCAGGGAGACCCUGUGGAAUAUUUCCACCAACUUCAUUUACACAUUCAUCGAAGCCGAUUGUUUGGAGAAUAUUUGGCUGUCUGAGGGUUGAAGGGCGGAGAAAUGAUAGAAAAGUUCACAGCGGACGACAGAUGCUCGAUGAAAUGCUGCAGUGAGAUUAUAUGGGAAAUCAGUCCACGAAAAAGACGAAAUUUUUUAUGGUCACAAGAUAUACUUUUUAGUUUUGUUAACAAAUUUUCUUUAGUAACUCCAAGUUUUAUAUGAGAU